AAGUCGUAACAAGGUUUCCGUAGGUGAACCUGCGGAAGGAUCAUUAAAGAGAUCAUGCCCUCACGGGUAGACCUCCCACCCUUUGUUUACAAUACCUUUGUUGCUUUGGCGGGCCCGUUUGGCCCCGCGCUGAACAACCGGCCCCGGCUGGUCAGUGCCCGCCAGAGAACCUAAAACUCUGAAUUAAAUGUCGUCUGAGUACUAUGUAAUAGUUAAAACUUUCAACAACGGAUCUCUUGGUUCUGGCAUCGAUGAAGAACGCAGCGAAAUGCGAUAAGUAAUGUGAAUUGCAGAAUUCAGUGAAUCAUCGAAUCUUUGAACGCACAUUGCGCCCCUUGGCAUUCCGAGGAGCAUGCCUGUUUGAGUGUCAUUUGAAACUUCUCAACCCACUUUUUUUCUGUGGCUUGGAAAUGGGGGCAAAAGUGCAGGCCUUUUUUGUGUCUGCUUCCCUGAAAUGCAUUAGCGGUGUUUGCUACCACAGGUGUGAUAAUAGUUCAACGCCUAUUUGCUGCCGCUUCCAACAAUAAUUGAUGAUGACCAACUUGACCUCAAAUCAGGUAGGACUACCCGCUGAACUUAA
Molecule: ribosomal RNA, 580 nt
Filed under: uncultured fungus
Lineage: Eukaryota; Fungi
Description: eukaryotic LSU rRNA
Rfam family: 5.8S ribosomal RNA (bases 217-370)
Source: RNAcentral